CUGUCACAGAAUAGGAAGAUGAUUUCACUUUGGAAUCUGCCAAUGAAGGAGUACUGUCUCAAGCCAAGAAUGGAUGCUCCAGUAUGCCAAUGGGACAGCUACUGAGGCUUUCAAGAACUCUCAAAGUCAAGAAUACAGUUAAAACUUAUACUGUCUGCCUCAAAACUUCAGUAAGACAAAUGCAUAAACAUAAGUGGUCUCUUCA
Molecule: long non-coding RNA, 205 nt
Organism: Peromyscus leucopus (white-footed mouse)
Lineage: Eukaryota; Metazoa; Chordata; Mammalia; Rodentia; Cricetidae
Exons: 2
Source: RefSeq, a predicted model, not a curated record